This 87-nucleotide transfer RNA is filed under the name Anaerolineae bacterium. RNAcentral's name for it is "tRNA-Leu". It matches the Rfam family "tRNA". Rfam says of the family: Transfer RNA (tRNA) molecules are approximately 80 nucleotides in length. Their secondary structure includes four short double-helical elements and three loops (D, anti-codon, and T loops). Further hydrogen bonds mediate the characteristic L-shaped molecular structure. tRNAs have two regions of fundamental functional importance: the anti-codon, which is responsible for specific mRNA codon recognition, and the 3' end, to which the tRNAs corresponding amino acid is attached (by aminoacyl-tRNA synthetases). tRNAs cope with the degeneracy of the genetic code in two manners: having more than one tRNA (with a specific anti-codon) for a particular amino acid; and 'wobble' base-pairing, i.e. permitting non-standard base-pairing at the 3rd anti-codon position. The record is from RNAcentral. Lineage: Bacteria; Bacillati; Chloroflexota; Anaerolineae.
GCCGAGGUGGCGGAACAGGCAGACGCGCUGCGUUCAGGGCGCAGUGGGCUUAUGCCCAUAAGGGUUCGACUCCCUUCCUCGGCACCA